GUUAGUCGCCAUCUUUGAGUGGGGCAGACGUCGGCCGCCUUGCUCGCGGUCACUUCAUCCUAAGUUGUAUAUGUGCAGAGCGCCGCGCGGGUGGUCGCCUCCGCUGCUGCCGCCACCCGCCCGUCCUGCCUUUGACCGCAUAGGUCACAGACAAGACAGGGUGAUCGCGGCAAGACCCUGAGUGAGACUAGUGGCGUUACCCAGAGGGUGCGAGGUCGAGCACCCUCACUGCCCCAUCGCAAACCCAAAGAUCCCCCGUUCCUGGAGAUUCUGAUUGAGGUCCCAGCCCUACCUGUCCUGAUGCCUGACCAGCAGGAUGCAAGCCCAGGAGGCCAUCCAAGAUACCAGGACUGGGAGAGAAUGCCCAGUGGUGAUUCCUGCAUAGUCCUAGGAGGUGUCUUGGGCCCAGGCUCUGGAGUUGGAGGCUCAGUUUGAGGUAGGGGCUGGAAACUGGAGGGCUCCAUCUUCUCUGAUAGGACCUCCUGGCCCUGCACCUGGACUGUGACCUGGGGAGGUGCCCCCACCAUCAGAGGUCCUACCAGAGAGUGAGGCUGGCCGCAACC
RNAcentral lists this non-coding RNA (563 nucleotides) under Pongo abelii (Sumatran orangutan). Lineage: Eukaryota; Metazoa; Chordata; Mammalia; Primates; Hominidae. The record is from RNAcentral.